This 264-nucleotide long non-coding RNA is filed under the name Ananas comosus (pineapple). Its description in RNAcentral is "long non-coding RNA (ACOM_LNC022159)". Lineage: Eukaryota; Viridiplantae; Streptophyta; Magnoliopsida; Poales; Bromeliaceae. The record is from RNAcentral.
ACCUACAUAGGUGAGGUCUAGCUUGUGCCGCCUAAGUGCCAGUGGUAGCUCCAGCAUUCCCACCCUAGGAAUGAGUCUGACCCUCCAGGCUCCGUAGGCUACUCGAUACGCACGAGCGAAUAUAGGUCGCGUAGGCUAACUCCGGAGUGCCGGCUUGUAGGGAGCGACCCGUACAAGCAUGUGCGAAAGAGCACAAAUGGCAAGCAAGCAUGAUCAUCAUCUCAAGUACCCAAUCAUCAUGUCUCUAACAUGGUAACAGUCACU